AUGAAACCAAAAGACAAGUUUCUCAAAGGUCCCAAUAAGGAGUACCAUCACAUGCAUGUGAUGACUAUAAGCAACUUCAUCAUCAUCAUAACCAUGGUCAACCCUUUGAGAUUCUUUGACAAAAUAGAAGAAGCCAUUGGUGGCUCUGAAAUUGUAGCUGACAUUUCUUCACCAACACCAACACCAGAAAUUGCAGCAGGUUCAUUCUAA
Vicia faba (fava bean) is the source of this 210-nucleotide non-coding RNA. Lineage: Eukaryota; Viridiplantae; Streptophyta; Magnoliopsida; Fabales; Fabaceae. The record is from the annotation of a GenBank genome assembly.